AGGGGGCUAGCGUUAUCCGGAUUUACUGGGCGUAAAGGGUGCGUAGGCGGUCUUUCAAGUCAGGAGUGAAAGGCUACGGCUCAACCGUAGUAAGCUCUUGAAACUGGGAGACUUGAGGGCAGGAGAGGAGAGUGGAAUUCCUAGUGUAGCGGUGAAAUGCGUAGAUAUUAGGAGGAACACCAGUUGCGAAGGCGGCUCUCUGGACUGUAACUGACGCUGAGGCACGAAAGCGUGGGGAGCAAACAGGAUUAGAU
Molecule: ribosomal RNA, 254 nt
Filed under: Clostridioides difficile
Lineage: Bacteria; Bacillati; Bacillota; Clostridia; Peptostreptococcales; Peptostreptococcaceae
Description: partial 16S ribosomal RNA
Rfam family: Bacterial small subunit ribosomal RNA
Source: RNAcentral